UCCUGGCGUCCCUUUGUCAGAAAUGACAAUUAGCCGAAAAGAGAAGCAAAUGACCCUUCAAGGCCACCAUUGUUCUCUCAUCACACUGGGUUUUGUUUGCGUAUCUCCCCCGACUCGUGUGUCCUUGUUGCUCUGUGUGCGAGUUUGUGCUCGUGUGUGAGGGAAGUAAUUAUGCAAAUGAUGGUUGACGUCCCAGUGAAGCACAAUGUCGAUACGAACAGCCCGUUACCCACAUGUGCCUGUGUAUUUACACACGCAUACAUUUCAUCCCUCCAAAUGACCUGUGACCCGGCAGUUGCACAACUCUCUCAGUUCUGGAAAGACAGGUUCAGAGGACGGAUGACAAAAGGCCCAACAAUGACUGUCAUUGUGGCCGUUCCUGCUCCGUUUUAUCUGUCUGCGGGGAAGACCCAGAACACAGGGUAUAAAAAUACUGAAAUAUUGAAUGAAAGGGAAAGAGUGCUAUCAGAUUCUUUAUUUAAGCUGUCUGAAGAACUGCCUGACGGACCAUAGUCUUUUUGUCUGUCUCAUGGCUUCUCUCACUGUUUUUUGAAUCCAUUUUUGAGUUCUGGAUGUUUUCCCUCAUUAUUAGCCAUUCUCUUUUCUGCAGAAAAGAAGUGUCACUUUCAUUCAGAUUCAGAAGAUUGACAAGUGAAGCUUGAAGAGUUUCAAAUGAGUGUAGUCAUCAACCUCGGGCCCGAAAAAACAUAUUCAGUCUAAGUGGAUGUGAAUGCAGACUCUUCAAGAUGAACAAUCUGUGUAUUACACAGCAAUCAUAAUGCAAGCUUUAGCGGUGCUGAUAGGCAUCUCUGUUGGAGUCUGCCUGCGUUUCUGCAGACAAACUGCCUCCACCAGCCACUGGGAACCCUCCAUGAACCCUCCACUACUUUUUUGCACCCUCUACCCCAGCGCACGAGCCUGUGCGCCAGCUUGCCCUCCGCCCACGCCGGGCUACAGCAAGACCCUCACACAGAUCCUAAUCUGUAGGCUGGCCUGCACAUUGCCAGGUGACCCUGGGUGGGGGCUGCCAGGGCUCCUUAAAUCCCCCGCUUUCCCCUGCUUGUCAGCACCCCUCUACCUCAUUUUACCCCUGAGCCCACCCCCUGCCUGAGGGCUGCCCCGCUCCAACAGCAAUUAAUCCAUCUAUUGAUCACAGAGUUAGACUCAGCAAGCUUCUGAAGCAGCACACCAAAGCUCUCCUGUCUCAGAUAUUGAACUGUUUUUUUUUUUUUUUAUGUUUUUGUUGCACUUGGUUUCUCUGUCACCUCUCUUUCUCUCUCUCUCUCUCUAGAAUGGCUCAUACAGGCCACUGUGAUCAUUAUACCAGCACACUUGGGGGCCAUUUUGCCUCGGCCCUGUCAAAAAAUGGUACAAUAAACCAGCCCAGGCUGUUGGUAUCUGUUGUAAU
Molecule: long non-coding RNA, 1408 nt
Organism: Cyprinus carpio (common carp)
Lineage: Eukaryota; Metazoa; Chordata; Actinopteri; Cypriniformes; Cyprinidae
Source: Ensembl